AUUGAACGCUGGCGGCAGGCCUAACACAUGCAAGUCGAGCGGAUGAAGGGAGCUUGCUCCUGGAUUCAGCGGCGGACGGGUGAGUAAUGCCUAGGAAUCUGCCUGGUAGUGGGGGAUAACGUCCGGAAACGGGCGCUAAUACCGCAUACGUCCUGAGGGAGAAAGUGGGGGAUCUUCGGACCUCACGCUAUCAGAUGAGCCUAGGUCGGAUUAGCUAGUUGGUGGGGUAAAGGCCUACCAAGGCGACGAUCCGUAACUGGUCUGAGAGGAUGAUCAGUCACACUGGAACCGAGACACGGUCCAGACUCCUACGGGAGGCAGCAGUGGGGAAUAUUGGACAAUGGGCGAAAGCCUGAUCCAGCCAUGCCGCGUGUGUGAAGAAGGUCUUCGGAUUGUAAAGCACUUUAAGUUGAGGAAGGGCAGUAAGUUAAUACCUUGCUGUUUUGACGUUACCAACAGAAUAAGCACCGGCUAACUUCGUG
This 482-nucleotide ribosomal RNA is filed under the name uncultured bacterium. RNAcentral's name for it is "partial 16S ribosomal RNA". It matches the Rfam family "Bacterial small subunit ribosomal RNA", at positions 30 to 507 of the family's 1533-position model. The record is from RNAcentral.